RNAcentral lists this ribosomal RNA (419 nucleotides) under uncultured bacterium. RNAcentral's name for it is "bacterial SSU rRNA". It matches the Rfam family "Bacterial small subunit ribosomal RNA", at positions 355 to 775 of the family's 1533-position model. The record is from RNAcentral.
UGGGGGAUUUUGCACAAUGGGCACAAGCCUGAUGCAGCGACGCCGCGUGAGGGAUGACGGCCUUCGGGUUGUAAACCUCUUUCGCUAGGUUGGAAGACGCUUUUUGGAGUUGUUGACUUUAACUGGUAAAGAAGUACCGGCUAACUACGUGCCAGCAGCCGCGGUAAUACGUAGGGUACUAGCGUUGUCCGGAAUUAUUGGGCGUAAAGGGCUUGUAGGUGGUUUGUCGCGUCUGUCGUGAAAACCCGGGGCUUAACUCCGGGCUUGCGGUGGGUACGGGCAGGCUUGAGUGCGGUAGGGGAGACUGGAAUUCCUGGUGUAGCGGUGGAAUGCGCAGAUAUCAGGAGGAAUACCGGUGGCGAAGGCGGGUCUCUGGGCCGUUACUGACACUGAGGAGCGAAAGCGUGGGGAGCGAACAG